GUCUGUAUGAAGUUGUAUGGAGUCUAACCUGCCCAAUGAAUAAAUUUAAAAGGCCGCGGUAUUUUGACUGUGCAAAGGUAGCAUAAUAAUUAGUUUUUUAAUUGGAAACUUGAAUGAAUGGUUGGACAAAGAAAAAGCUGUCUUUAAUAUUUUUUUUGAAUUUUACAUUUAAGUGAAAAGGCUUAAAUACAUUUAAAGGACGAUAAGACCCUAUAAAUCUUUACAUUUUUAUACACUUAUAUAAUUUAGAUAAAAAUAAUUAAGAUGUUAAAUGAGAUGUUUUAUUGGGGUGAUAAAGAUACAAUUAUAAACUGUCUUAAUAAUAAAACAAAUGUGUUUGGUGAAAAAAAGAUCCUUUAUAAAGAUUAAAAGUUAAAGAUACUUUAGGGAUAACAGCGUAAUUUUUUUUGAGAGUUCUUAUCGAAAAAAAAGUUUGCGACCUCGAUGUUGAAUUAAAAAUUUCCUUAUGGUGCAGAAGUUAUAAAGGAGAGUCUGUUCGACUUUUAAAUUUUU
Molecule: ribosomal RNA, 513 nt
Filed under: Munidopsis aspera
Lineage: Eukaryota; Metazoa; Arthropoda; Malacostraca; Decapoda; Munidopsidae
Description: partial large subunit ribosomal RNA
Rfam family: Bacterial large subunit ribosomal RNA
Source: RNAcentral